UACGUAGGGGGCAAGCGUUGUUCGGAAUUACUGGGCGUAAAGGGCGCGUAGGCGGCACAGCAAGUCGGGAGUGAAAGCCCGGGGCUCAACCCCGGAACAGCUUUCGAAACUGCUGAGCUAGAGUACAGAAGGGGCAACCGGAAUUCCCAGUGUAGCGGUGAAAUGCGUAGAUAUUGGGAAGAACACCUGAGGCGAAGGCGGGUUGCUGGGCUGAUACUGACGCUGAGGCGCGAAAGCCAGGGGAGCAAAUGGGGAAUUAGAAACCCCGGGGUAGGUCCAAGACCGAAAGUACCUCUGCUA
Molecule: ribosomal RNA, 300 nt
Filed under: uncultured bacterium
Lineage: Bacteria
Description: partial 16S ribosomal RNA
Rfam family: Bacterial small subunit ribosomal RNA
Source: RNAcentral